This 253-nucleotide ribosomal RNA is filed under the name uncultured bacterium. RNAcentral describes it as "partial 16S ribosomal RNA". It matches the Rfam family "Bacterial small subunit ribosomal RNA", at positions 524 to 776 of the family's 1533-position model. The record is from RNAcentral.
UACGGAGGGUGCAAGCGUUGUUCGGAAUCACUGGGCGUAAAGCGCGUGUAGGCGGCCUUCUCAGUCUGGUGUGAAAGCCCGGGGCUCCCCCCCGGAAGUGCAUUGGAUACUGGAAGGCUGGAGUACCGGAGGGGAGAGUGGAACUCCUGGUGGAGCGGUGAAAUGCGUAGAUAUCAGGAGGAACGCCGGUGGCGAAAGCGACUCUCUAGUCCGCAACUGACGCUGAGGCGCGAAAGCCAGGGGAGCAAACGGG